Molecule: ribosomal RNA, 659 nt
Filed under: uncultured Bacteroidales bacterium
Lineage: Bacteria; Pseudomonadati; Bacteroidota; Bacteroidia; Bacteroidales
Description: bacterial SSU rRNA
Rfam family: Bacterial small subunit ribosomal RNA
Source: RNAcentral
AGAAAGCUUGCUUUCUUUGCUGGCGACCGGCGCACGGGUGAGUAACACGUAUCCAACCUGCCCUUUACUCGGGGAUAGCCUUUCGAAAGAAAGAUUAAUACCCGAUAGCAUAAUGAUUCCGCAUGGUUUCAUUAUUAAAGGAUUCCGGUAAAGGAUGGGGAUGCGUUCCAUUAGGUUGUUGGUGAGGUAACGGCUCACCAAGCCUUCGAUGGAUAGGGGUUCUGAGAGGAAGGUCCCCCACAUUGGAACUGAGACACGGUCCAAACUCCUACGGGAGGCAGCAGUGAGGAAUAUUGGUCAAUGGGCGUUAGCCUGAACCAGCCAAGUAGCGUGAAGGAUGAAGGCUCUAUGGGUCGUAAACUUCUUUUAUAUAAGAAUAAAGUGCAGUAUGUAUACUGUUUUGUAUGUAUUAUAUGAAUAAGGAUCGGCUAACUCCGUGCCAGCAGCCGCGGUAAUACGGAGGAUCCGAGCGUUAUCCGGAUUUAUUGGGUUUAAAGGGAGCGUAGGUGGACUGGUAAGUCAGUUGUGAAAGUUUGCGGCUCAACCGUAAAAUUGCAGUUGAUACUGUCAGUCUUGAGUACAGUAGAGGUGGGCGGAAUUCGUGGUGUACGCGGUGAAAUGCUUAGAUAUCACGAAGAACUCCGAUUGCGAAGGCAGCU